CUUAUUGAUAAACACGGAUGGACAUCUCGCGAGAGGGGCAACGAGAAACCGGUGACCAAGAAACUGACCAACUGUGUAUAACAUUCCAUUCACGUGAAUACUGCAUAUAAAAGCGGGAGAUCACGAGGAUCCCUUCCUUUUUCCCUUCUGCUUAUGGUGACAUUAGGAGAGGACCUUGCUAGUCGUCCCUGCGAACUGAGGCCUAGUGAGAGACUGAAUCCAGCUCCGAUUGGCUGCAGAGUCCAGUCCAGGACUUCAGGUGCCGGCUCUGCAGUUGCUGAGACUUUCAAGGAUCCAUGUUCUUCACGAUGCAGCAUGUCUUCUCCCGUGCGUUACAGGAGUUUAUCAGCACGGGUUGGCACAGGAAUGCUGACCGGUGACAUGGGAAACCCCACGCUGCAGUAAAAACUGACUUUGAUGUACUCUUCCCAUUUCUUCUUCCUGUUGUGAGGAAAACCGUCCAGAUGGGUAGAACUUGCCCUGGAAAGCCACACACUGGAGCAAUUCUGUAACUGAAUUCUUAUUGAUCAACGUAUCCUAGCGAUGUACAAAGAGGGGCAAGACCACACAGCAAGACAAAAUGAGCCACCCCAAUCCUAAUACUCUCGAACUGCUUUUAAUACCUUUGAGAAAUCGCUUUGUUGGCAGACAUUAUGCUGCUUUGUUGUGUAAUUUAUGUGUACGUUUUGAAUGUAAAGGGAGAAGGACAAGGUCACUUAUUACACCGCUGAAAAGGCUGAGUGUAUAUGCUGGGGAUAAGUAAUCUUCUUUAAGUUUUGAGCAUAACCAUAGCACCUUUUAAUAAAUUUACUCUCUUUCUUUGUUUCCCUCGCAAAUGAGACUUGCAUCCAUGUAACUGCAUGCACAACCACCAGCCUUGUUUUUUUUUAUGUCAUUAUCAAUGUUAGAGAUUCUUUUUAUAAUACGUCAGAGACUUUCUAUUCAGUUACAAUCAUAAAGGCUGGUGUUAUUUUCUUUUUGCUUCUGGGUCUCCAUCAACUGAGUGUUGGUUUGUUUUGAAGUCAGUCGUGGACUUUGAGCUGUCUCCUGCUUCACCUUCAAGAUCGUCUGUCUUCUCAGCUCGGGCUGCCACGGUUUAGCAUAUCGCUGAGCAAGUAAUAUUGUCUGGAAUUUGGAUGAUGGAGAUGCAGUAAGAAAAAUAGUUGCAUUUGAGGAAAAAUGGAUUGAAUUAUGGAUUAUUGCUUAUCUGUGAAGUUAAAAACCCUGGAUUUGAAUCUCGCUCUGGAGAGCAAAAUAAGGGUCUGACAAAAUGAAAGCUUAUAUCUUAAUUUUUUUAUAGCAUAACUCAGUCUUCUAUUUACUGUACAGAAUUAUAAUAUUCUUAUGCUAAUAUGUUUAGAUUCCUGUGAUAACACUUGACAAAAUUAAAUUUAGAAUGUGUUUUGUUCAGAA
Molecule: long non-coding RNA, 1413 nt
Organism: Columba livia (rock pigeon)
Lineage: Eukaryota; Metazoa; Chordata; Aves; Columbiformes; Columbidae
Exons: 2
Source: RefSeq, a predicted model, not a curated record